CCUCAAAUCAGUGCCCUCUCUCUCUCUCUCUCUCUCUCUCUCUCUGGUUGUUGGUGUUUCCAUUUGGGUAUUGGAAGAGUAUAGGAUAAAGAAGAAAAAGAAGAAAAAGAAGAAGGAAUGAGGAAGCCAUGCUGUGAUAAAAAAGAAACACACAAGGGAGCAUGGACAAAGCAAGAAGACCAGAAGCUUAUCCAUUACAUUCACACCCAUGGUGAAGGUUCUUGGCGUACCCUCCCCAUGGCUGCUGGGUUGCAUCGUUGUGGUAAAAGUUGCAGACUAAGAUGGAUAAAUUAUCUAAGGCCAGACAUCAAACGGGGCAAUUUUGCUCAAGAUGAAGAGGAUCUCAUUAUCAAGCUCCACGCCCUCCUUGGCAACCGGUGGUCCCUGAUAGCUGGAAGGUUACCGGGGCGAACGGACAAUGAAGUAAAGAACUACUGGAAUUCUCACAUAAAGAGAAAGCUAAUAAGAAUUGGUAUCGAUCCAAACAACCAUCGAUUGAACCAAACCCUUCCUCGCCCACAAAACCAGUCCAUGUCAAAUCUCACCACGUCAUCUGAGUCCACCAAUGAUGCCUCCAAGCCAUUGAAAGCCUUCACCGGCAACGAUGGGGUGUCGGUCAACGCCACUUGCCUUGAAGAUGACAAUUCAAGCUCAAAUGAGUUGAACUUGAACCUUGAUCUCACCAUUGCCAUUCCUUGUGCUUUUUCUUUGUUUGAGGGAAAGAAGGGACAAGAAAAGGAGUUGAAAGUGGCCAAGGAGAGUGAAAGUGACCAGCUUCCUACCCUUCUUCUAUUUAGGUGGUCCCUGAUAGCUGGAAGGUUACCGGGGCGAACGGACAAUGAAGUGAAGAACUACUGGAAUUCUCACAUAAAGAGAAAGCUAAUAAGAAUUGGUAUCGAUCCAAACAACCAUCGAUUGAACCAAACCCUUCCUCGCCCACAAAACCAGUACAUGUCGAAUCUCACCACGUCGUCUGAGUCCACCAAUGAUGCCUCCAAGCCAUUGAAAGCCUUCACCGACAACGAUAGGGUGUCGCUCAACGCAACUUGCCCUGAAGAUGACAAUUCAAGCUCAAAUGAGUUGAACUUGAACCUUGAUCUCACCAUUGCCGUUCCUUGUGCUUUUUCUUUGUUUGAGGGAAAGAAGGGACAAGAAAAGGAGUUGAAAGUGGCCAAGAAGAGUGAAAGUGACCACCUUCCUACCCUUCUUCUAUUUAGAUCAAGGAUAAAACUGGUGAGCAAAUAGGUGAAACUGAAGGUCCUCAAUUUCUCCAUCUUAACGUAGAAGUAAAGCUAUACCUCCUCCAUCUCUUCUUCUCUAGCGGUUGCAUUAGCAGUUAUCAUGGAUCCUUUUGGAUGUACUAAAUUUGAGCGUAAGCUUGAAGAUGACGAAGUUUGUGGGAAUAAAGAAGAAUUAGGUUCCCAUGCAAAUGACCCUAUUCAAAGUUUAACCAAGAAUGAUGUUCUUGAAAUGCAAUUCAAUUCAGAAGAGGAUGCCAAUGAUUUCUAUAAUCAAUAUGCUAAAGGUGUGGGAUUUAGCAUUAGGAAAGACACGCGAACAAUGCAGGCAACAAAGGUUCUUAGUAGAAAAUGGGUAUGCUCAAGGCAAGGCCAAAGAGCAAAGUAACACUUGGCCCGUAUUGAUCGAAAAAGAGCUGCCAGGGCAUUGACUAGAGUUGGUUGUGAUGUUCAUUUUCGCAUAAGGUACAAUCUGGAUGUAGGCAAAUACAUUGUCACUCACUUUAACAUGGAACAAAACCAUCCAUUGGCAACAUCACCAUGUGUGCCAUUUCUUCGGUCGCAUAGGUUUGUAAAGAUCCCCGACAAAGCUCAAGUAAAGACUUUGCACGAUGUUGGUGUCAAGACAAGCCAGAUAAUGGAUUUGUUGGUGCAACAAUCUAGGUCUUUCCCGAAUGUGGGUUUUAUUCACAAGGAUUUGCAUAAUUAUAUUCAAGCCGAGCGCAAAGUAGAAAUGAAGGAUGGUGAUGCGAAGUGUGCUUUGGCUUACUUAUGUGCAAAAGUUGAUGAUGACCCUUACUUCUUUUACAAGUAUGACAAGGAUCAAGAGAAUCGGCUUGACAAAUUGUUUUGCGCAGAUUCAAGGUCUCGCCUAGACUAUGCUGCAUUUGGUGACGUGUUGGUCUUCAAUACAACUUAUAAAACGAAUGCAUAUAACAAACCUUUCGUUAUUUUCACCGGGGUCAAUAACCAUUUUGAAACCACCAUAUUUGCAUACAGCUUGCUUGUUGAUGAGACAAUUGCACCAUACACAUGGGUUUUGUAGAAGUUGUUAGAGGCCAUGGAUAGCAAAAGACCGGUGUCAGUGUUGACAGAUGGGGAUAUGGCUAUGCGUAAGGCAAUACAAAAAGUUUUCCCGAGUGCCAAGCAUCAUCUAUGUAAUUGGCAUAUGCACAGAAAUGCCAAGCGAAAUGUUCGAGUCGAUGGAUUCGAGGGACAUUUCAAGCAUCUCAUGGAUCUUGAUGCAAAUGAGGUUGUAUUUGAGGAAGCUUGGAGUAAGAUGGUCAGAAAAUAUGGCCUUCAAAAUAACAAGUGGGUAUCAGACACCUACAACAACAAAGGCAUGUGGGCUCAGUCAUAUUUGCGUGGUCAUUUUUUUGCUGGAAUGAAGAGCAGUCAGCGUUGUGAGGGUAUGCAUGCUUUUUUCAAUGAGCACCUCAAACGAAAAUUGAAACUAUUCGAAUUUGUUAGAUGUUUUGACAUGGCCCUUUAUCGAUUACGAAACAAAGAAGCGGAUGCCGAGGCAAAAACUGACAACAGUGAUUCUUGUCUUACCACAGCACUUCAGCCUCUAGAGAAAGAUGCAGCAACCAUCUUUACCAGACGUUUGUUCUUAAUGUUCCGUAAUGAAAUAAUUGAGGAAGCAUUGUUGAUUUUUGAUGGAAGGAAAGAGGAGUUCGAUCAUCGCAUAUACAAAUUUUCAAAGUACACUGAAUUUGGUUCCACAUGGGAAGUGUCAUACCAUCCCACAACUAGCAUAAUGAAAUGUAGUUGCAAAAAGUUUGAGUUCUUUGGACUUCCUUGAAGCCACAUGAUUUCUGUGAUGAAAUGUGAACACAUGACUGAAAUUCCCCCAAGUUGUGUGAUGCAUCGUUGGACAAAGCAAGCAAGAAAGGUUGGUGAACAACAUUGCCAAGCCCAAUUCUCUAACACUCUCACAUAGGAGACACGUUUUAGGGUUCUUUGCUCUUCUUUUACUGAAAUGUGUUACUAUGCCUCACAAACAUCUGAAGGAUUUGAAGAGGCUAGAAAUGCAUUUUUCACUAUGACAUGCCGGAUGAAGCAGUUUUGCAUGGCCAAGGGAACUAAUGUUGAUGAAGAAAAAAGGUCAUUGCCGCCAUUUGGGGUUGGGGAUCCGAAAAUAGUGAACACGAAGGGGAAUACUGGGGGAUCCUACAUGGCUAAACCUCGAAAGCCUUUAGCCAAGGCGAUGCCAAUGUUGCAGGGUCGUCGGCCAUACAAGGAGAACUUGCCCCCAAAACGAUCAUAAAACGGGACAAGUGGGUAGUAGUUUGUUUGAGGAAUACGAUGAUUAUGAUCCAAUUGGUACUCCCACCCCUUUUACACCGAAGCGUCCCAGGAAUAAUAUGAGGCCAUGUAAGACCCACCCUGUGAAGAGACGACUUUUUGUCACUAAAGUGGAUACUUCUCCAGUGCAGUUGAGCAAGGAUGUUAAUGACUUGCGUAGUUGCGAUGCACAAGUCGUCCAAAAUUCAACGUUCACUGAUGCGGACACGUCUCUAGGUGUUGCUGUGGGUAAUAGUUGAUAUGAUCGAGCGGGUGACAUUGGGAGCUAAACUAAUAUUUUUUUUUAAAAUUUUUUGAGGACUUAAAUCUGUUAGUAUUUUGUAUAAAUGCUCUUAAAUGAUGGUUGAUGGAUAUUUGUUUUGCUGUAUGGAAGUUUAUAUUUUUUAUGCACACUUCUUUUUUUUCCUGAAGAAAGAAUUUUGUUAAGGGAAGGGAUGGAAAAUAAUGCAUGACUGAUUUUGUAAGGAAUUAUCAUUCACCAAACGAGGUUGUAAGAAAUCGUACACUACCUUGCAGU
Molecule: non-coding RNA, 4062 nt
Organism: Camellia sinensis
Lineage: Eukaryota; Viridiplantae; Streptophyta; Magnoliopsida; Ericales; Theaceae
Source: RefSeq, a predicted model, not a curated record